GGCCACUGCUAUGGGGGUCCGACUAAGCCAUGCGAGUCAUGGGGGUGUCCCUUCUGGGACACCACCGGCGGACGGCUCAGUAACACGUCGGUAACCUACCCUCGGGAGGGGGAUAACCCCGGGAAACUGGGGCUAAUCCCCCAUAGGUGUGGGGUACUGGAAGGUCCCCACACCGAAAGGGGCUUCGUGCCCGCCCGAGGAUGGGCCGGCGGCCGAUUAGGUAGUUGGUGGGGUAACGGCCCACCAAGCCGAAGAUCGGUACGGGCCAUGAGAGUGGGAGCCCGGAGAUGGACACUGAGACACGGGUCCAGGCCCUACGGGGCGCAGCAGGCGCGAAACCUCCGCAAUGCGGGAAACCGCGACGGGGGGACCCCCAGUGCCGUGGCAACGCCACGGCUUUUCCGGAGUGUAAAAAGCUCCGGGAAUAAGGGCUGGGCAAGGCCGGUGGCAGCCGCCGCGGUAAUACCGGCGGCCCGAGUGGUGGCCGCUAUUAUUGGGCCUAAAGCGUCCGUAGCCGGGCCCGUAAGUCCCUGGCGAAAUCCCACGGCUCAACCGUGGGGCUUGCUGGGGAUACUGCGGGCCUUGGGACCGGGAGAGGCGGGGGGUACCCCUGGGGUAGGGGUGAAAUCCUAUAAUCCCAGGGGGACCGCCAGUGGCGAAGGCGCCCCGCUGGAACGGGUCCGACGGUGAGGGACGAAGGCCAGGGGAGCGAACCGGAUUAGAUACCCGGGUAGUCCUGGCUGUAAAGGAUGCGGGCUAGGUGUCGGGCGAGCUCCGAGCUCGCCCGGUGCCGUAGGGAAGCCGUUAAGCCCGCCGCCUGGGGAGUACGGCCGCAAGGCUGAAACUUAAAGGAAUUGGCGGGGGAGCACUACAAGGGGUGGAGCGUGCGGUUUAAUUGGAUUCAACGCCGGGAACCUCACCGGGGGCGACGGCAGGAUGAAGGCCAGGCUGAAGGUCUUGCCGGACACGCCGAGAGGAGGUGCAUGGCCGCCGUCAGCUCGUACCGUGAGGCGUCCACUUAAGUGUGGUAACGAGCGAGACCCGCGCCCCCAGUUGCCAGUCCCUCCCGCUGGGAGGGAGGCACUCUGGGGGGACCGCCGGCGAUAAGCCGGAGGAAGGAGCGGGCGACGGUAGGUCAGUAUGCCCCGAAACCCCCGGGCUACACGCGCGCUACAAUGGGCGGGACAAUGGGAUCCGACCCCGAAAGGGGAAGGAAAUCCCCUAAACCCGCCCUCAGUUCGGAUCGCGGGCUGCAACUCGCCCGCGUGAAGCUGGAAUCCCUAGUACCCGCGUGUCAUCAUCGCGCGGCGAAUACGUCCCUGCUCCUUGCACACACCGCCCGUCACUCCACCCGAGCGGGGUCCGGGUGAGGCUCGGUCUCCCUUCGGGGAGGCCGGGUCGA
This 1402-nucleotide ribosomal RNA is filed under the name Thermococcus sp. DT4. RNAcentral's name for it is "bacterial SSU rRNA". It matches the Rfam family "Archaeal small subunit ribosomal RNA". The record is from RNAcentral. Lineage: Archaea; Methanobacteriati; Methanobacteriota; Thermococci; Thermococcales; Thermococcaceae.